AUGGCCGAAAUCAGUGAUGCCCCAGCAGUUACUUCCGGUGAGCUUGCGGCUAUAUUGCGAGCGAUGGAUGAGAAAUACAGGGCUCUGUUUGAUGCAAUCAGCAAGCAAGCUAGCAGCUCCAAAUCAGAGGCUGAAAUAAAGGAGGAGAUACAUCCCUUACAGAUGCCACAUGUGAAGUUAGAGGGUCCUGAGAACUAUGUAAGCUGGGCUGAGCAUGCUGAAACCAUCCUGGUUUCAAGGAAAUUGGAAGGAUACAUACUUGGGACAGUAGAGAAACCCGAGGAAGAAGGUUCAAAAGAAGGCCAAAAAUGGAGAGCAGCCAAUGCUUUGGUCAGGGCAUGGCUUCUGAGUUCGAUGUCUUCUCAGAUUGCAAAGCAGGUUGAGAGAAUCAAAGAUGCUUCAGAGAUUUGGAGGCUCCUGAGAGGCACAUAUUCAGGAGUGGGAAAUGAGAUGUUAGCAUGCAAAAUUCAAAAGGAGUUGCAGGAGCUGAGCCAAGGUGAGAGAACAGUGGUGGAAUAUGUGUCUGAACUUAAAACGUUGUGGAGUGACCUGGACUACUAUGAUCCAGUUGAAAUGGAGUGUGGGAAAUGUAUUGAGAAGCAUAGUAAGUGGACUGAGAGGAGACGUGUUAGAGACUUCCUAAAUGGCCUCCAUCCCAUGUUUGAAAAUAGGAGAGCAGCUCUAUAUGGUAGUGGGUAG
This 699-nucleotide ribosomal RNA is filed under the name Triticum aestivum (bread wheat). RNAcentral describes it as "partial small subunit ribosomal RNA". Lineage: Eukaryota; Viridiplantae; Streptophyta; Magnoliopsida; Poales; Poaceae. The record is from RNAcentral.